This 253-nucleotide ribosomal RNA is filed under the name uncultured bacterium. Its description in RNAcentral is "partial 16S ribosomal RNA". It matches the Rfam family "Bacterial small subunit ribosomal RNA", at positions 524 to 776 of the family's 1533-position model. The record is from RNAcentral.
UACGGGGGGGGUAAGCGUUGUUCGGAAUUACUGGGCGUAAAGGGCUCGUAGGCGGCCAACUAAGUCAUACGUGAAAUCCCUCAGCUUAACUGGGGAACUGCGUGUGAUACUGGAUGGCUUGGAUUUGGGAGAGGGAUGCGGAAUUCCAGGUGUAGCGGUGAAAUGCGUAGAUAUCAGGAGGAAUACCGGUGGCGAAGGCGGGUCUCUGGGCAGUAACUGACGCUGAGGAGCGAAAGUGUGGGGAGCGAACAGG